AGACUUACCUGGCAGGGGCAAUACCAUGAUCACGAAGGUGGUUUUUCCAGGCGAGGCUUGUCCAUUGCGCUCAGGAUGUGCUGACCCCUGCGAUGUCCCCAAAUGUGGGAAACGUGACUGCAUAACUUGCGGUGGUGGGGGACUGCGUUCACGCUCUCCCCUG
Molecule: small nuclear RNA, 163 nt
Organism: Pteronotus mesoamericanus
Lineage: Eukaryota; Metazoa; Chordata; Mammalia; Chiroptera; Mormoopidae
Product: U1 spliceosomal RNA
Exons: 1
Source: RefSeq, a predicted model, not a curated record